This 414-nucleotide ribosomal RNA is filed under the name Salmonella enterica subsp. enterica serovar Give. RNAcentral's name for it is "bacterial SSU rRNA". It matches the Rfam family "Bacterial small subunit ribosomal RNA", at positions 578 to 991 of the family's 1533-position model. Lineage: Bacteria; Pseudomonadati; Pseudomonadota; Gammaproteobacteria; Enterobacterales; Enterobacteriaceae. The record is from RNAcentral.
GUCUGUCAAGUCGGAUGUGAAAUCCCCGGGCUCAACCUGGGAACUGCAUUCGAAACUGGCAGGCUUGAGUCUUGUAGAGGGGGGUAGAAUUCCAGGUGUAGCGGUGAAAUGCGUAGAGAUCUGGAGGAAUACCGGUGGCGAAGGCGGCCCCCUGGACAAAGACUGACGCUCAGGUGCGAAAGCGUGGGGAGCAAACAGGAUUAGAUACCCUGGUAGUCCACGCCGUAAACGAUGUCUACUUGGAGGUUGUGCCCUUGAGGCGUGGCUUCCGGAGCUAACGCGUUAAGUAGACCGCCUGGGGAGUACGGCCGCAAGGUUAAAACUCAAAUGAAUUGACGGGGGCCCGCACAAGCGGUGGAGCAUGUGGUUUAAUUCGAUGCAACGCGAAGAACCUUACCUGGUCUUGACAUCCAC